AUUGAACGCUGGCGGCAUGCCUUACACAUGCAAGUCGAACGGUAACAGGUCUUCGGAUGCCGACGAGUGGCGAACGGGUGAGUAAUACAUCGGAACGUGCCUAGUAGUGGGGGAUAACUACUCGAAAGAGUGGCUAAUACCGCAUGAGAUCUACGGAUGAAAGCAGGGGAUCGCAAGACCUUGUGCUACUAGAGCGGCCGAUGGCAGAUUAGGUAGUUGGUGGGAUAAAAGCUUACCAAGCCGACGAUCUGUAGCUGGUCUGAGAGGACGAUCAGCCAAGCUGGGACUGGGACACGGCCCAGACUCCUACGGGAGGCAGCAGUGGGGAAUUUUGGACAAUGGGCGCAAGCCUGAUCCAGCAAUGCCGCGUGCAGGAUGAAGGCCUUCGGGUUGUAAACUGCUUUUGUACGGAACGAAAAGCCCCGGGUUAAUACCCUGGGGUCAUGACGGUACCGUAAGAAUAAGCACCGGCUAACUACGUGCCAGCAGCCGCAGUAA
Molecule: ribosomal RNA, 498 nt
Filed under: uncultured bacterium
Lineage: Bacteria
Description: partial 16S ribosomal RNA
Rfam family: Bacterial small subunit ribosomal RNA
Source: RNAcentral